Molecule: long non-coding RNA, 1043 nt
Organism: Pezoporus occidentalis (night parrot)
Lineage: Eukaryota; Metazoa; Chordata; Aves; Psittaciformes; Psittacidae
Exons: 5
Source: RefSeq, a predicted model, not a curated record
UGAGAACAGCAAGGUCUGACUGCUUCCUUAUGCAACCAGGAAAAAAAAUCUCUCCUUCUGUUGACAGACAGCUCUGUGCUCUGUCACUGCAGUUCAGCUGGAAAAGGCAGAAACAGGGGAUGCUGAAGUGCAGCUCGCUUCUCCUUGCUGCUCCUAGAUGGCUCUGACUGCUACUGCUGCACUUUGUACAGCUGCGUACCAGCGUCCUCUCGCUGGCUCCCUGAUGUGGGUCCUGCCUGUGGGUCUGCAUAGCCAUGGCACAGACUGAAGCCUCCCUCAUGAUGUGCUCUGAAAACCUUCAGGCUGGAAGAGGCUGUACACAAGGAAGAUAACACCUCCCUGCUCCCCCAUGCACACCAGUAGCUAGGUCUGUCCUGCCCAGAAUUCUUCCUCUGUGUUGUGUUGCCUUCAACUGCCAUUGCAUGACUAAGAUCCCCAGCUCUUCUGAAAAUGACAACUACAUCAAUAUAGUAUCAAGGAGUCAGAUUGGAAUGGGUAUCAUCUUUCCUGGGAAGAUCCACAGUCCUAAUUGUCCUGUCUGUAUAUGACUGAAGUGCUAACUCUUCCAUUACACCAGCUUCUUCCACCAGCAUAAGUUUUGAUCUAAGAGGAAAAAGACAAGUCUUCUGGGUAGGACUAAGGAACAAUUGCUAUGACAUGAACUACGACUAAAAGGAUCCUUAGAUCAUUUUCACCCUGAACACAAAUACUGAUCUCACAUAGUGAAAAGCUGCUCUUUAGUAUAACUAAAAUAUGUCAUAGAAUCAUAGAAUAGAAUCACAGAAUAGUUAGGGUUGGAAAGGACCAUAAGAUCAUCUAGUUCCAACCCCCCUGCCAUGGGCAGGGACAUCUCACACUAAACCAUGUCACCCAAGGCUCUGUCCAACCUGGCCUUGAAUACCUCCACUUCCAAGAAAACCAUAUCGGCAUCACAUUUUGUACAAAACCCAGUACUGCAACACUAACUGGCUAUUUUAGAGGAAUUAAAUAUUUUAAUAUUAUUAAAUAUGCUUAAGUAUAGAAUUCGUUACCUUUCUUGUUAC